AAAUUAAGGAUGGAAAGACGGAGCAGUUUCUAAAAAAUGAGAUGGUACAUUUGGAAAUAAUACCAUAAAGGCUCAUUAUUUUAAACAACUAUUGAUUACACCCUGGGGAUUUUCACCAACUCCACUUGAUACUGCUUUUAAAAUGGUAAGUACCUACAUAAUUUUAUGAUUUAUAGACUGCCUCGAUUUUAUAGAUAUUACAACAG
RNAcentral lists this long non-coding RNA (206 nucleotides) under Junco hyemalis (dark-eyed junco). RNAcentral describes it as "lncRNA (ENSJHYG00000003776.1)". Lineage: Eukaryota; Metazoa; Chordata; Aves; Passeriformes; Passerellidae. The record is from RNAcentral.